GUUGCCAUUAAAGAGAAGAUUUGCAUCACAUUAUUAAAAUAACGUUGCUGAGAAUUAUGUGACCUCUAUUCAUGCCUCAUGGCCAUAAAUGAUUUAUGUGCAGGAAUGUUGGCUGGAGCAGGAGCUAAGUGUGGUGAUGGCACCAAAUAUGAAGGGCACGGGAAUGGCUCAGCCUCUGGUGAGAGAUUCACCACCCCAGAGCAACAGCUGGACCUUGCAGAGACCUUCCCUCAGUGCCAGGGAGGGCAGCUCUGCAGCUGGGGCAGUGGCACAGCCGUGUCUGUCUGUCUGUCUGCAUGUUAGCCAAGUCAGAGCUGGUUCCUUCCCCUGUGCACUCACCUGGUGUGACAGCACUGGUAGCAAAACACAUUUCAAGGCACUUCUGAAUGGGGACACCAACCAGAGCAUCCUUAGUACAGGAGCAUCAUUAGAGCUGAUGACAACCAUCCCUCCAUUUCCCUCAGCAGUGGGCUAAUUGUCUAAAUGUUCUUUCUGCUGAAGAAGAACACUGGCAGAUUAAUUCAGGCCCCAAGAACAGGUUUGUAAAUAAAUGGUUAGGUUAAAAAAAAAUAUUAAUUUGA
Molecule: long non-coding RNA, 581 nt
Filed under: Junco hyemalis (dark-eyed junco)
Lineage: Eukaryota; Metazoa; Chordata; Aves; Passeriformes; Passerellidae
Description: lncRNA (ENSJHYG00000014951.1)
Source: RNAcentral